RNAcentral lists this small RNA (509 nucleotides) under uncultured Glomus. Its description in RNAcentral is "SSU rRNA". It matches the Rfam family "Eukaryotic small subunit ribosomal RNA", at positions 569 to 1081 of the family's 1831-position model. Lineage: Eukaryota; Fungi; Glomeromycota; Glomeromycetes; Glomerales; Glomeraceae. The record is from RNAcentral.
AGCAGCCGCGGUAAUUCCAGCUCCAAUAGCGUAUAUUAAAGUUGUUGCAGUUAAAAAGCUCGUAGUUGAAUUUCGGGAUCAAGGAAUCGGUCAUGCCUCGGUAUGUACUGGUUUUAUUGGUUCUCACCUUCUAAAGAACCAUGAUGUCAUUCAUUUGAUGUUAUGGGGAAUUAGGACUGUUACCUUGAAAAAAUUAGAGUGUUUAAAGCAGGCUUACGCUUGAAUACAUUAGCAUGGAAUAAUGAAAUAGGACAUCAGAUUCUAUUUUGUUGGUUUCUAGGAUCGAUGUAAUGAUUAAUAGGGAUAGUUGGGGGCAUUAGUAUUCAAUUGUCAGAGGUGAAAUUCUUGGAUUUAUUGAAGACUAACUACUGCGAAAGCAUUUGCCAAGGAUGUUUUCAUUAAUCAAGAACGAAAGUUAGGGGAUCGAAGACGAUCAGAUACCGUCGUAGUCUUAACCAUAAACUAUGCCGACUAGGGAUCGGAUGAUGUUUAUUUUUAGUGACUCAUUC